This 15932-nucleotide long non-coding RNA is filed under the name Homo sapiens (human). RNAcentral's name for it is "HSALNT0335726". The record is from RNAcentral. Lineage: Eukaryota; Metazoa; Chordata; Mammalia; Primates; Hominidae.
ACCGCGGCGCUGGGGGUUCCUCCCGGCGAGACUGGCGGGGCUGCGGCGGCUAGGAGAGUGGUGCGUAGGUGUUUCUGGGGGGGUCGUGGGCAGGAUGCAGGGCUCAGUAAAGUUUAGUGUCAGAACUUUGUUUGCGCUACCCCUAAUAUUUCCGUAGAGUAAUAGUUGUAUUAACUACUUUUCUUUUUUCUUCUGUCCUCCAUUUGUUUUGGGGGAGGGUGCGGAGGAAUAAGCCUGUGUCUAAGAUUGGCGCCUCUCUUCUCUAGCUGUUAACUCUGAGCAUUCCCUUUUGUAUAGGGUAUCGUGUUAAUUUUUACAUGCACCCAGAGCAGUCUGCCUUUUGGAAGAUACAUGGGAGACCCUACCGAAAGUAAUUACUUUUUUUUUACAGAGUGAAUAAAUUUGCGUGUCAUAAAGGCUGUAUAAUUGCUUUCGUGUCUAGAGUUCUAGAGUCUUUCGUAUUUCUCUUAUUGCAAUGAUUAACUUCAUCAAAUAAUGAGGAAUAUAAACAUAAGGUGCAUGGCUAUCAAGGAAACAGGGAAAGCAAAGAGAACAUGUAUCCUGCUUCCCUGUUGAGUAGAUAUUUACUCAGGUGUACCUUUCUUUUUUAUAUCUUUUUUAUAUCUUAUGAAUUGAAAAUAAAUCAUGGGACCCCCAAAUCACUAAGCUAAAGGGAAAAGUCAUACUGGGAACUGCUUAGGGAAUCCUGCCUCCCAUUCUAUUCAAAGUCACCCCUCUGCUCACUGAGAUAAAUGCAUGUCUGAUUGCCUCAUUUGGAGAGGCUCAUAAGAGAAUGCAACUGUCUGUUAUCUACCUAUGACUUGGAACUUCCUCCCCACUUGGAGUUGCCCCGCUUUUCCAGAUCAGACCAAUGUUUAUCUUACAUAUAUUGAUUGCUGCCCCAUGUCUCCCUAAAAUGUGUAAAACCAAGCUGUGCCCCAGCCACCUUGGGCGCAUGUUGUCAGGAUCUGUGCCAUGUCAUGGAUGCAAGUUCUUAACUUUGGCUAAAUAAACUUUCUGAGUUGAUUGUGACCUGUCUCAGAUAUUUGGAGUUCAUGUAUCUCACUCUUUACUAUUUAAAAAAUAUUAUUCCAGUUAGAAAGAAUGAAUAAUAUCAAGUAUUUGAUAGCACAGCAGGGUGACUAGUUGUCAGAGGCGUUUGAACUAGAGCAACUCCAUCUUGAAUAGGGGCUGGGUAAAAUAAGGCUGAAACCUACUGGGCUGCAUUCCCAGGAGGUUAGUCACAGAGUGAGAUAGAAGGUCCACAGGCAGGAAAAACAAGUCAUAAAGACCUUGCCGAUAAAACAGGUUGCAGUAGUGAAGCCAACCAAAACCCACCAGAAACCAAGAUGAUGAAUACAGUGACCUCUGGUCGUCUUCACUGCUCAUUAUAUGCUAAUUAUAAUUCAUUAUCAUGUUAAAAGACACCCCCACCAGUGCCAUGACAGUGUACAGAUGCCAUGGCAACGUCUGGAAGUUACCUUAUAUGGGUCUAAAAUGGGGAGGAACUCUCAGCCCUGGGAAUUGCCUACACCUUUCCUUGGAAAACUUGUGAAUAAUCCACCCCUUGUUUAGCUGUAAUCAAGAAAUAACUAUAGGUAUCCUUAGGCCAGCAGCUCAAGCCGUUGCUCUGCCUAUGGAAUAGCCAUUUUUUUUUUCCUUUGCUUUCUUUAUAAACUUGCUUCACUUUAUGGAUUUGCUUUCAAUUCUUUCUUGUAUGAAAUCCAAAAACCUUCUCUUGGGGUCUGGAUUGGGACACCUUUCCGGAAGUACAGUCAAUAAUAAUUCAAUUGUACAUUUUAAAAAACAAAGUACAAGUGGAUUGUUUGUAACACAAAGGAAAUGCUUGAGGUAAUGGAUACCACAUUUACCCUGAUGUGAUAAUUACAUGCUGUAUGCCUGCAUCAAAAUAUUUCAUGUACUCCAUAAAUAUAUACACCUACUAUGUACCUACAAAAAUUAAAAACUAAAAAAUAAAAAUAUUCCUUUUAAUCAUAUAUUGAUAGAGUUGGUAAAGGGGAGCUAUUUCAAUUUCUUUUCCAUCUAAGUACAUUACUGUGGGCAACUCAAAUCCAAUGCCAUAAACGUAAUUGUCUAUUAAAUUCCCCAGCUUUAUUUAAAAGACAGGAACUCAGUCAUAAAACCUUCCACUAAGUACUGCUAGAAAAUGACAAUGGCUACCUGAUUAUGGACCAAGAGGGAAAACACCAGAAGUCAAAGAGGUAGUUUGGAAGGUGGUAGGUAGUGUGGUUCCAGAGAGCAUCAAGCUUCAAAACAAGCAGAAACAUUCAUUCCUAAAACACAUAUUUAUUAAUUCUCUAUCAGAUGCCAUGGAGCACAGUGGUGGAUAAGGAAGACAUGGUCUGGCCGUAACAAUUUUGAAAUCUAAUGAAGCAGAUUAAAAAGAUAAGUACUUACAAUAAAAGUGUGGAAAUUCUAACAAUAGGGGAAGUAUAGGGCAGUAUGUGAUCACUUGGCAGCCAAACUUCUUGCUUCCUAUGUAAGACUCUCACAGUCAGACUGGAGCUGCACAUCUCUGCCGCUGCACAACACAUGGAGAAUAGUCUGCUGUAUCCUAGCCUUGCCAAGCCCUUUCAGGACCCCAUGUCUUUACUGGAUUGCCUGUCCACUUCCCCACGCCCCCGACCCUCAUCCCCGCAUAUUAUUUUGUAACAUAUUUCUUCAUGGUAUCCCAGCUUUAAAGUCUUCAAUGAAACCUUUUAAACUCCUACAGUUAUUGUAUAUGUUGUGUUUCCACAUUUCUUUAUUUAGAUGCCUCUAAUAGCAAGAAAAGUUAUAUUGUAGUUUAUUAACUUAUUUACUGCAUCUCUCAAUAUCCUGAGCUCCUAAAGGAACUCCUGAAAGUUCCUCAGCACUUAGCGUGACAACUAGUACAUAGUACCUGCUGUAUUCUAUAAAUGUCCUUUAUGUGAGUAAGUCAGUGUAAAUGUUUUGGUGCAGCAUUAUACUUUGGUAAAAUAGUACUAUGUUAAUAUUACUAACAUUUACAUUUAUUCCUAAGAAAGGAAACCAUAAGAAUAAUUCAUGGUUAUAUUUUCUAGAGACUAGGCUUGUUUCGUCCAGUAUGGUACUCAAUAGCCAUAUAAAGCUAUUUACAUUUAAAUUAAUUAAGAUUAAAUACAAUUGAUAAUGUGGUCCUUCAGUUGCACUAGCCACAUUUCAGAUUCUCAGUAGUCACAUGUGCCUCAUGGCUAUCAUAUGGGAUAGUUUAGAAAAACAUCUUCGUCUUCACAGAAAGUUUUAUUGUACAGCUCUGGUCUAGACCUUUGAUGGGAUGCACAUUUGUUCAGACUCUGAGAUCAUAUAACUUAAAUAUCUCCACCUAGCAACCAUAUACUCUAACUACAUUUUCAGUUAUUUUGAAUGGGUAAUAAGCAUUUGAAUGGAGGAUAUUUCAGUGUUGGCUGAUAUCUGAUAUUAAGUAGAGCUUUAAUCAAUACAGUGCAUGCCUAGAAUAAUGGUAAGAAUCCCAAGUGGCUAUUUAAUAACAGAUGAGAGAUUCUUUUGAAGAGCAAGCUUUGUGUAGACUUGGGAAAUAGAAUUUCCAUUCUCUACAAAAUAUUGUAAUAGUUGUGUUUGUGUCUACAAACUUAAGUUGAAUUUUGAUAUGUAGAUGAUGGGGGAGGAUUGAUGGUGUCUUCAGCUGCACUCUGUACAUGAUUUGUGACACUAUCCUUAGACUCACUUUAAAAUAUGAAGGGCAAUAAAAUAUUGCCACAUUUAUAAUUUGAAUUGAUGGCUACCCUGAUAGCAUAUCAAGUGUGAUCUGGUAAAGUUCCUCCAUGAUAAAUUUUAAAAAAAUAAAAUUUGAAGCAUUUUUUCCUUGUCUGUCAAGAAAAUACAACUGUAAACUUUGAAAUACUUUUCCUGGUUCAACUAGGAAAAUAAAACUAAGUAACUACAAUUGGGUAUUGUCAAGCAAAUCAGUAUUCACUGUUUGUCACAUAGGGAAAUUACCAAGACAUAGUGUUAAUUGUGUCACUGACAUUAUCCUAUUGUAAUGAAGGAUUUAAAAAUUAUUUUAAUCCCAUAAUCAAAAAUGGUAGUGAACAUCCAAACAUAGCAAAUAUUAGUGCCUUAGGAAAACACUAUGAUUCAUGAGUAGAAGGAGAGGAAAAAGACCACUGAAAAAGAGGAAAGUAAUUAGAGCAGCAAAAAAUUAUAGACGAAGGAUAGUUAACAAUAACUCUACAGAGUUAAGGACAAGGAAAAUAAUGCAGAACCACUGGCUAUUACAGCAAAAAGGCUAUGCCUUUUACUUUAUUUAUUUAUUUAUUUAUUUUUAAAAAUAGAGAUGAGAUCUUGCUCUGUUGCCCAGGCUGGUUUCAAACUCCUGGCCUCAAGUGAUUCUCCCACCUUGGCCUCCUUAAGUUCUGAUUUUACAGGUGUGAGCCAUCGUGCCCAGCCAGGCUGUGACUUUUAACAGGGGAUUGUUUCUUUUUUUCCUGCCAUGGUUGCAAUAGAAGUCAGAUUGUAAGAGCAUAAAGAAGCCAUAUUAGUGUGGAGACAAAAGUGACUCCACCUUAAAUGCUAAUCUGCUAUAAUGAUUUUUGAGUAUCCUCAGUCCCAUGAAUGCCUCCUGAUUCCUACUUUAUUUACUGUCCCUAGAGAAAGAACAUGUCAAUCUUGAUGUUAUCCCACAGUUUACAGACUAUGAUGAAUAUAUAGCAUUGUUGCCUGUUCUGGAGGAUUGCCUUUAAUUAUCUUGCAUAGAGAGCACUUAUACCCUUUCACUGUAGUAUAUAAGCUCUGGGUUGGGAGGUAACAGGUUUAGAGAUCUACCUGUCUUGCUGCUGCCCAAGACCACACUUCCGUCUGUAAGUUACCUCCAUCACUGACAAACUGGAUUUUUCUACCUCAUUCUUUGAUUUCUCAGCUCCUCUGGCAUUUGGGGGGAACUUUGCAUAUAUGGUGGCCCUUUCACAGAACAGUCAGCAUUCUCCAGAGUAACAGAGAGAUUAUAGUAAUUGGCCCAUGUGAUUAUGGAGGCUGAGAAGUCCCAUGAUCUGCAAGCUGGAGAACCAUAGAAGUUGGUGGUGUAGUUCAGUCUGAGUUUGAAGGUCUGUGAACCAGGAGUGCUGAUGUCCGAGAGGAGGAGAAGAUGGCUGUUCAGCUCAAGCAGAAAGCUAAUUCACUGUUCUCUGCCUCUUUGUUUCAUUCAAGCCCUCAAGGGAUGGUAUAAUGCCUACCCAAAUGGGUGAGAGCGUCUUUUUUACUCAGUCUACCAAUUCAGAUACAAGUCUCUUCUGUAAACACCUUCACAGACAUACCCAGAAAUAAUGUUUUACCAGAUAUUUGGGCAUCCUUUAGCCCAGUCAAACUGACACAUAAAAUUAACUGUCAUAGAAGGACUACCUCGUUAGCAACUAAGAACAAUGGGACUUAGAACAAAGACCUCAUCAGGUAUUAAAUUGGAAGAAGAUACAUUAAUGAAAAGAAAUGUUAUGGUACUGUUGAAGAUGGAGGCAGCAAGACCCUCCGAGGCUAUAGAAAAAAUAGCGUAAUAAACCCAGAAAGGCUCUUCAAGAUAUCUAUGUUAGUGUUCUACCUAACACAGCAAUAAUUUCUUUGCAAAGCCCCUGGCAGAUUAUUUAGUUUUGCUUGGAUCCUUAAGGUGAUGAAGUGUUCCCUUUUUAGCAAGGUAAAUGAAUCUGUUUUUGGACAGAUGUAACUCUUAGAAAUUUCUUCCUUGUACUGCUAAAGCAAGGUCUGUUUCCCUGUAGCUUCCAUAUGGUUUCCUUAAGUGAUAAACAGACUGACUGUAAUAUAUCUUUCCUAUGACAGCCCUCCAAAUAUCUGAAGUAUGUCCCUCCUGUUUUCUUUUUUUAAGUUAAGCAUCCCAGAUACUUCAAUUUAUAUCUCCUCACAAGAUUGCCAGACCUCUUAAUAUUUUGGCUGCCCAAUCAGAAUAAAGUUGUUGAACUCUAGUUUGCCAGUGUCAAUUUUAAAAAGUAAUGUCCAGAAGGAAUUUUGUAUUUUGCAUGUAGUCUGACUGGAACAGAUAAGAGACAGUGAAAUUAAUUUUGUUAGAUAUUUUACACUUGUUAAUUGGACUCUUGGCCUAAACUGAACUGUAAUGAAUGUACCUGUCUGGUAUUUAUCUAAAUUGCCAUCAAACCAGGUUUAGUCUAUUCUGUAGCUGAAAAAAUUAAUUUUAUUUGAUAAAUUUUACCUUGUUCGUUUUGAUCCAUUCAUUCAUUUAUUCAUUCAUUGUUUCAACAAAUACUUUUUGAGGUCAGCAUUGUGGCAGUCUUCGUUAUGCCCUGAGAUUACCAGAAAGUACAGGUUAUUCCAAUUAGUUGAACAACUUGAGAUCAUUUUAAAAUGUAAAUCUAAUAUUCAACAUUGUUAUUUUUACAUCACCUGUCAUCUAUAAAUUUCAUAAACAUGAUUGUAUCUUUAUUCAGUUAAUAACAAGAUUAAAAAAUCAAGGACAUAUUGUGAUAAGCUGGUGAUUUUGAAUCAUCAGGAUUCUAGAUUUAAAAGUUUUUGGAGACAGAACAUUUAACGGUGUGAUUUAUUUAUUUUAUAGAAGAGAGUUAAUAUAUAACUUAGAGUUUGAUUGUCUUAAAUACCGUAUUUCUCUUUUUGUCCCAGGGGAAGAUCACAGAAUGCUGCCUUGCUUGUGGAAUUAUAGAAUUCAAAUCUAUCAGUUUUAUAGGGAGUAAUUUUUCAAGACUUACUCUUAAGGAAUUCAUACUGAUUCCUAAUAAUCAUCAUUUUCUUAAUCUAAAUCCUACAAAGCCAUUCAUUUAAUCAUUUGUUUUAGAAUGUUUCCUGCUUUCCUGUAUGUUUCUUUUUCUUCUUACUUUAAAGCAAGGUUUAAACAUCCCUUUUGAUAUUUUUAGGUUUUGUCGGGGUGUAGGGAGCAAGGUUAUUCUCACUGUGACCUUUGCCCUGCAGCAGUAAAGCAAUAACUAGCAUCAUUUCUGCUUUGUAUUGUUUUAUCAUUUCUACAUCAUGUUUGUAGGCUGACGAAUGAAGUCAAAUGCUUAUAAAUGCUUUGUAAACUAUAAAAUUCUCCAUUUAUAUAUAUUUCUGCCCCACUUAUUUCUCAUUAAUGUUACUUGUGAUUAUAUUGUCAGAAUUCCUUAGAGCCACAUUUUUGUGAAUAUUGUGCUGCAAAUAUAUUUAUUUGUUUGUAAGCACUAAGUAUUCUUUUGUUCCCAAGAAAACAAAUUCUAUAUGAGUCUUUUCUGGUUCUGUUUUUCUUUUGUUUCAAUCUCUUCACAAUAUUGUAUUUAGAGCCAGAUUUAUCAGCCCCAGGCAUCUCUUGCUUUCCUGUGUCUACUUCUUCACAGUAUAACUCUCAGGCAAAAUGACAAAAAGGCAAAUUCACAAAGGAACCAGUGAGUGUUCUUGUCAGUGCUUGGGUUCCAUUCUCAAAUAAGCUGAAAGUUCUUCUAUUUCAUCAACAGAAUGUGAUUUAAAGGGAUAUAUUGCCAGCUUGUAUCACUGCUAAACAGUGGUGUGUCACUGUAGAGCAAAUAGUCACAAGAAUACAUUCUCAGGAAAUAUACAGUUAUAUCUAUGCUUUCUGCCAAGCAAGGAGAAACGCAGACUGGCUCAAAUCUCCAGAAACGACUUGCAUCCUUCUUUAUUUCUUACACCUUUUCUUUUCUUCAUCUCCUAUUUCUUCUUUCCCCAUGUCCUCCUCCUGCUUUCACAAUUUCCUUCUCCUCCUUAUUCUCCUUCUCUUUCACCUCCCCGUCUUCUUCCUUACGCGUUGAUUAUGCCAGUAAGAUGAUAUCUUGUAAAGAAAUGGAAUACUUUUAGCAGAUGCCACACUAUAGCCACAGUAGUGACAUCUGGAAUUUGUCAAAAGCCACAGUUGGCAUCCCUAAAAUUCACCUGCCUGGAUUCUGUUCUGAGAAGAUUGUGUCUGCAAGAAAGUCUGGCCAAGUUCCUAAAAGAGGCAAAAUCAAGGAUAGAUGGCAUCUAUCCUAGUUCACGUGAAGGUUAAAAGCGUCUUCAGGUACUUAGAUACAUAGAUAUACAGGCUCUGUUAUUACAAACUUUCAAGGCAAUUCUUAUGUUCUUAUGUAUUUAUUUGCUUUUUGAAUCACAAAAUUUAUGCUUAUAUUUUAAGCAGAUGGAGUUUGUUUAUGAAGAAGUGAUUAUUGCUGAUACUCAUUAUUACACAUCAGAGUAGUUAUAUUUCUAUGUAAUUUUUUGCAUGGAGUAGGCAUUUGUGGUCUUGCUCUACAUCUGUUUGAUCAUAGCAAUUCCAGUUGAUUUCACAGGGUCAGCAAAUACACAGCACAUAAGCUAACACUCUUCCUUCUUGUACCCACAGUAGACCACUAAUCAAUUAUGGCGUUUGUCUUGCUAAGCCAGGAAACAGCUUCAGAAUCCUUCUCAAACAAUGUUUCAGACAGCUGCUAUUAAUAUGUCAGAGUUGGCACUUGAUGAGAAAUACAGUUGCCAUUCCAGAUUAAGGCCAACACCCCCCACCGCCCCAAAAAACAGCCUCAUAAAAAGACCUCUGAGCAGUGGCAUCAGAAAUCUAAGGGUCACUGAUGGAGUAUGACAGGAAUCUAAGACAGAGAGAGAUCCUAAUUUCCCAGGAGCCAGUAAUGCAGAGUGGAUAAUUCUGGUUUGGACUUAAGGUAGAUGUAGGAUGGAAGUAAAAAAGAAAACAUACAUUGGGACUGGGUCCUUAGAUCUAUAAAUUGUUUAUUUGGGUAGCCAUUACUCAGAUUUCUCUCAUUCUAUAGAGUGGUUUUUUAGAGUUUCACAGUGGUACCUAAUUGUGACAAUACGGGUCUUUCCUAUGAUUAGUGACCCAAUAGAAUAGUGAAAAGGAAAGUAUUUGUUUUUGUACAACAUAGAGGCAUGAGUGCCUUCUUUUAACCCAUUGAUUCCCACACUUUGAUCUUGAGAAACUUACUGUCUUAAACCUUCUGAAGACCUCCCAAAGGGCUUUUGUUUAUAUGGCUAUAACUUUCAAGAUUUAUCAUAUUUAAAUUAAAAUGGAAAAAUGUUAAAAUAGUUAUUGAAAAUGAAAAUAGUAAAUGCCUGUUUACUUAAAUAAUAUUUAAUCUCACAGAUCCCCUGAAAGAUUUUGGAGAAUUUCCUGAUUGGCACUUUGAAAACUGCUGCUGUAACCAAUUCUGUGAUGACUGCUGACUUGAUGUAAGGUGAAUGCAGAAAGUCUCCUGCUAGGACUCUCCCUGGCAUUGCCUCAUUCACAAAAAAUUUCAGACACUAUAUAUAUCAAUUCAGAUAAUUCAUUCAGUUAAAUGUUUAUUAAAUAUAUUUUCAAAUUGUUUAUUGAUAUAUAAUUAUUCUAUCAAGGACACAUAUAAAAUAAUUAGGUAUAGAAAAAUAUAAGAAAGAAAAGGAAAUCAAGAUUAGGAAAAAAUAACAAUGCAGAUAUUCAGACCAUAUAGUACUAUAAAGUUGGCUCAUUAUUUUGCUAAUGUGUUUACUGAGCACCUGUUCUAGACAUAGGAAAUGCAUGGAUGACUACAAUUGCCCCAGUUGUUAUCUCAUUGAGGUUACAUUAUAUUGUACUUGUAAAAUAUGCACCCCCACUCAUGGCUUUAGGCAAUACAAAUGAACAAAAACAAAAACCAGCCAAACAAAUAUAUCAGUUAAAAGAUCAUUGACCAAAAUGUUAAAUGGAGUACUCUGAGGAAGCAAAGAGUUUUGGAGAUAUGCAAAAUAAUUUUCUUAUAGUACAUUUCCUAAUUGACUUUAUAAAGCUGUUUCUUAUAGUCUUCAUUAAUGAAAGUUAAAGAGGCAUGAGAACAAAGUGCUGCUGAGAAUAUUAUAUCAGUUAACUUUUGCGAAAACAAAAGUAUAAUCCAUUUGUUGCCAAUAUUAUCAGACUGUGAUUCUAAAGUGAAACUACCUUUCUUUUUUACGUCCAUGUUUUCAUAGUAUAAGCCCCUCCUGGUCCAUUAAAAAUGUAGUACUGCCAACCUAAAGUUAGUACCAGGGCUUCACCUUAUACCAAGAGAGCUGAGAAAUGUUGGGGAGCACAGAUCAUUUGAUGCAUAGUGAAUACCUGAUAUAGCUGGUAGUUUGAAGUAGUAGCUCCUUAGAUGAUUUUUUUUUCCAGAAGGGGUAAGAAUGUUAUGUGUUAUAGAUGGAAUUCUGUCCUUCCAAAUGUAUAUGCUGAAGUCCUAACUCCCUGUACCUUAAAAUGUGACUGUAUUUGUAGAUAGCGUUUUUAAACAGUAAGUAGGUUAAAAUGAGGUCAUUAGGGUACUCUAAUCCAAUAUGCCUGUUGUCCUUAUAAAAAGGUGUGCUUAAGACACAGACACCUACAGAAGGAAGACCAUGUGAAAAUACAGGGAGAAGAAAGCUAUCUGUAAGCCAAGAAGUGAGUAAGGCCUCAGAAGAAAGCAAAGCCUGCCAACACCUGGAUCUUGGAUUCUGGCCUCCAGAAUCAUAAGAAAAUACGUUUCUGUUGUUUAAGCUACUUGGUCUGUGGUACUUGGUUACAGUAGCCCUAGCAAACUCAUAUGAUUCUGUGAUGAGGGGAAAGAACUGUUGAAAGGUGAGCAAUCAAAGAUACAAGGAAAAGGAAAAGGGAGGUGGAGGAGUGGUGGGGAUCAGAGCAAGAAAAUAUCGGGGCAGAAAAGUAUGGGGCAAAGUCAUAGAUAGGUGGUGUGUGUAUUAGUCGAUUCUUGCAUUGAUAUAAAGAACUGCUUGAGACUGAGUAAUUUAUAAAGAAAAGAGAUUUAAUUGGUCAGAGUUUUGCAGGCUGUACAGAAAGCAUGGCUUGAGAGGCCUCAGGAAACUUACAAGCAUGGCAGAGGUGAAGAGGAAGGAGGCCCAUCUCACAUGGCUAAAGCAGGGGGAAGAAAGAGGGAAAGGGGAGGUGCUAUGGACUUUUAAACAACCAGGUCUCUUGAGAACUUACUCACUACCACAAGAGUAUAAAGGGGGAAAUCUUCCUCCAUGAUCCAGUCACCUCCCACCAGGCCCCACCUCCAACACUGGGGAUUACAAUUCAACAUGAGAUUUGGGUGGGGACAAAAAUCCAAACCAUAUUAUUCCACCCCGGCCCCUCCCAAAUCCCUUGUCCUUCUCACAUUGCAAAAUACAAUCCUCCCUUCUCAACAGUCCCCUAAGUCUUAAUUCAUUUCAGCAUUAACUCAAAAGUCCACAAUCCAAAGUCUCAUCUGAGACAAGGCAUUCCCUUCUGUCUAUGAUCCUGUAAAAUUGAAAGCGAGUUAGUUACUUCCAGGACACAAUGGGAGUACAGGCAUUGGGUAUAUAUACCCACUCCAAGAGGGAGAAAUCAGCCAAAACGAAGGCACUACAGGCCCCAUGCAAGUCCAAUACCCAGAAGGGCAGUCAUUAAAUCUUAAAGCUCCGAAAUAAUCUCCUUUGGCUCCAUAUCUCACAUCCAGGCCACACUGAUACAAGGGGUGGACUCCCAAGGCCUUGGACAUCUCCACCUCUGUAGCUUUGCUGGGUACAGUCCCCUCAGCUGCUUUUACAGGAUGGUGUUGAGUGCCUGUGGCUUUUCCAGGCACAUAGUACAAGCUGUUGGUGGAUAUACCAUUCUGGGGUCUGGAGGACGGUGGCCCUCUUCUCACAGCUCCACUAGGCAGUGCCCAGUGGAGACUUUUGUGUGGGGCCUCCAACGCUACAUUUCUCCUCUGCACUGCUGUAGUAGAGAUUCUCCAUGAGGGUUCCAUCCAGGCAGCAGACUUCUGCCUGGAUAUUGAGGUGUUUUCAUAUAUUCUAUGAAAUCUGGGCAGAGGCUCCAAAGCCUUAACUCUUACCCUCUGUGCACCCACAGUCUUAGCACCACAUGGAAGCCACCAAGGCUUACAGCUUGCACCCUCUGAAGCAGCAGCCUGAUCCAUAUCUGGGGCCCUUUUAGCCAUGACUGGAGCUGGAGUGGCUGGGACACAGGGAGAAGUCUCCCAAGGUUGCUCAGGGCAGCAAGGCCAUAGCCUGGUCUACAAAACCAUUCUUUGUUCCUAGGCCUCUGGGCAUGUGAUGGGAGGGGCUGCCAUUAAGCUCUCUGAAAUGCCUUCCAGGCAUUUUCCCCAUUGUCUUGGCUACUAACAUUAGGCUCCUCUUUACUUUUGCAAAUUUCUGCAGCCAGCUUGAAUUACUCCCCUGAAAAUGGGUUUUUGUUUUCUACCACUUGGCCACAUUACAAAUUUUCAAAACGUUUAUGCUCUAUUUCCCUUUUAAAUAUAUGUUCCAAUUUCAGACCAUCUCUUUGCUCAUGAAUAUAAGCAUAUGCAGUUAGAAGCAGCCAGGAUACUUCUUGAACACUUUACUGCUUAGAAAUUUCUUCCACCAGAUACCCUAAAUCAUCUCUCUCAAGUUCAAAGUUCCACAGAUCCCUACAGCAGGGGCACAAUGCCACCAGUCUUUGCCACAGCAUAGCAAAAGUAACCUUUACUCCAGUUCUCGAUAAAUUUCUUAUCUCCAUCUGACACUACCUCAGCCUGGACUUCAUUGUUAACAACAAUUUAACAAGUCUCUAGGAAGUUCGAAACUUUCCCUCAUCUUCUUGUCUUCUUCUGAGCCCUUCAAAUUGUUCCAACAUCUGCCCAUUACCCAGUUCCAAAAUCGCUUCCACAUUUUCAGGUAUCUUUGUAGCAAUGCCCCACUUCUCUGGUACCAAUAUUCAGUAUUAGUCCAUUCUUGCUAUAAAGAACUACCUGAGACUGACUAAUUUAUAAAGAAAAGAGAUUUAAUUGGCUCAGAGUUCUGCAGGCUGUACCAGAAGCAUGGCUUGGGAGGCCUCAGGAAAUUCACAAGCAUGGCAGAAGGUGAAGAGGAAGGAGGCACGUCUCACGUGGCUGAAGCAGGGGGAAGAGAGAGGGAAGUGUGAGGUGCUACAGACUUUUAAACAACCAGAUCUUGUGAGAACUCACUCACUAUCAUGAGAAUAGCAAGGGGAAAAUCUAGCCCCAUGAUCAAAUCACCUUCCACCAGGCCCCGCCUCCAACACUGGGGAUUGCAAUUCAACAUGAGAUUUGGGUGGGGAUAUGAAUCCAAACCAUAUCAGUAUGGUGGGCCAAACAAUAGCAUCAGGCUGAGCAUGGUGGCUCAUGCCUGUAAUCACAGUACUUUCGGUGGCCAAGGUGAGUGGAUUGCUUGAACUCAGGAGUUUGAGACUAGCCUCAGCAACAUGGUGAAUCCUGUCUCUACAAAAAAUACAAAUAUUAGUGAAGUGUGAUGUUGUAUGCCUGUAGCCCCAGCUACUUGGGAGGCUGAGGUGGGAGGAUGGCUUGAGCCCAGGUGGCGGAGGUUGCAGUGAGCCAAGAUUGUCCCAUGCACUCCAGCCUGGAUGACGGAGCCAGAUCCUGUCUCAAAAAGAAAAAAAGCACCAAAAGACCUCCAUGUCAAAUUCCCAAAACUUGUGAUUUUUACCUUAUAUUAUAAAGGAUGGGAUAAAGUCAAGGCUCUGAGAGGAAAUGUUUAUCCUGGAUUAUCUGAGUCAGUCCUAAAUACAAUCACAUGUAUCCUUAUAAGGAAGGAGAGACAGUUGUGAGACAGACACAGAGAGGACAGAUACACAGAAGAGGAGAAGGUGAUAUGAUGUUGCCUCAAGCCAGAGAACACUGGGCACCCCCAGAAGCUGAAAGAGGCAAGGAAAGAAGAAAUUUCUGUUGUUUUAAGCCACCAAGUGUGUGGUCAUUUGUUACAGCAGCCACAGAGAACUAAUAUAGAUGGAUUGAGCUUGGAUAUCAGAAAAUAAAUUUCUUCCUUUCAGACAUGGGGUAGAAAAGUAAGGAUGUUCAUACACUGAUUAUCUUGGUGGAGGUGAUGGUGGUGAUAUUGUAGGUAAAGUAAUUACAGACUAUUCAUUUUGUAUGUAAUAAUGCAUCAAGAACUUUUCUGAUUUUUUAUUUGUUAGAAAACUCAGAGUUUAGACCAAAUCCUAAAUAUAAUAGAAAACAUUGAGUUUUUAAAAAAACUUUUGACCAUUUAUACCAACCAACUGUAAAGCUUCUUCUUUUAUAUCUUUCAGCAUUUAGUUAUAAAUAAUGAAUCAGGAAACAAAGGGCCAAUAAUGACAUAAUGAACUCCUUAAGGUACGCAUAAUGUUUCAUAAGUUAAGUUAGAAAUUUCCAAUUGCUUUUUCUAAAAUGGAAACAACUGUAUAACAAGAUUGCUUCUUUGAAAUACUGUAAAAGUAUAAUGUUCUAGAUUGUUAUAUACUGCAACAUAUUAAAGCCUAAUGGAUUUUCCUCAUGAAAAUCUGUAAUACUGCUAUGAUUGAAUACUUCUUCAGAACUUGGUAAGCAUGUUGCUUUUUUAAAAUCUUGUAUUUGUCAUAGUACUUAUUCUGGCAGGUGGGGGGACAUUUGGGUGAUGCUUGUUGUUAACAGAAGGACGAAUUAGUUUUGCAGCAUGAAUUGGCAUUCUAUAAAAUUCAUUCACAAAAUAAUUGCUUACUGGGGAUUUUCAUCAUUAUAACUGAGAAAGAGGAGGCACAUCUGUGCUCUUUUGCAAUAUGAGACAGUCAUUUUUCAAACAAAUCAUACAUGCAACAAUAGAUAGGAAUAUGGCGGGAAAAAGAUUCAGUGGUUCUAUCUGAGCCCGUGAUUCCAAUACCAGAGGCAGAAUUGAGAUUCAAGUCUAUAACUGUACCAGGAAAAGUCAUAAUAAGGGUAUAGGGGGUUGAUACAUUUAACUUCUGUCUAUGACAGCUUUCUUUGGAUAAUUUGGUAGAAAAAACAACAUGCAAUAAAAACAUCUUUAGAAGUCUUAGAUUAUUACUAAUUAUUUAUGGGAUUGGUUUCAGAAAUUUGAUACCUUAACAUCUUAAAGAAAAAGGAAGGCCAGGUACAUUGGCUCAGACCUGUAAUCCUAGCACUUUGAGAGAGCAAGGAGUGAAGAUUGCUUAAGGCCAGGAGUUCAAGACAAGCCUGGGCAAAAGUGUGAGACCCCCAACUCUACAAAAAACAAAACAAAACAAAACAAAAAACAAAAAAACCUAGCUGGAUAUGGAUAUGGUAGCACGUGCCUGUAGUCGUAGCUACAGGAGGCUAAGGUGGGAGGAUUGCUUGAGCCCAAGGGUUCAAGGCUACAGUGAGCCAUGAUCAGCCCAUUGCACUCCAGCCUGGGUGACAGAGUGAGAUCUUUUCUUUAAAGAGAGAGAGACAGACAGAGAGAGAAAUACUCUCAACAGGCAGCAUGAAAUCAUGUUCUAAAUCCACACUUCUUUUUUUUCCUGAAGAUAUUUGUUCAAUAACAUACGAGCCAAAUAAUGGAAACUGACAUCGUGUGUGUGUGUGUGUGUGUGUGUGUGUGUGUGUGUGUGUGUGUGUGUUGGGGAGGAGCUAGGUAUGCAGGAGAACCAACCACCAGGGGAAUCUCCUAGUACUUCCUGAAUCCCAAAGGUUCUUUGCCUCUAAUAUCUGACAUCCUUCACUUCCUUUUCCUUCUCUUUGCAACCACCAGCAACUUGACUUACGUGUUACUUGUGUUUAGGUACAAUGUAUUAGUUUUGUUUGUUUGUUUUUGUUUUGUUUUUAGAUGGAGUUCUCUGUUGUUGCCCAGGCUGGGGUGCAAUGGCGAGAUCUCAGCUCACUGCAACCUCCACCUCCCAGAUUCAAGCGAUUCUCCUGCCUUGGCCUCCUGAGUAGCUGGGAUUACAGGCAUGUGCCACCACGCCUGGCUAAUUUUGUAUUUUUAGUAGAGACAGGGUUUCUCCAUGUUGAUCAGGCUGGUCUCGAACUCCUGACCUCAGGUGAGCUGCCCGCCUUGGCCUCCCAAAGUGCUGGGAUUACAGGUAUGAGCCAUCGUGCCCAGCCAAUGUCAUUAAUUUUUAUACCGACAGAUAUAUAUAGCACAGUGCCUUGAGGUGAAAUAUUAAAUUGCCACUUUAUACAUGGAUUAUUACAAUUGCUAUUUAACUGUUUUGAGGAUUCCAGUUUACAUUUUAUAUUUAUAUUAAAACCAUAAUUAUAUUGAAUGUA